This 219-nucleotide ribosomal RNA is filed under the name uncultured Anoxybacillus sp. RNAcentral's name for it is "partial 16S ribosomal RNA". It matches the Rfam family "Bacterial small subunit ribosomal RNA", at positions 1165 to 1382 of the family's 1533-position model. Lineage: Bacteria; Bacillati; Bacillota; Bacilli; Caryophanales; Anoxybacillaceae. The record is from RNAcentral.
GGAGGAAGGUGGGGGAUGACGUCAAAUCAUCAUGCCCCUUAUGACCUGGGCUACACACGUGCUACAAUGGGCGGUACAAAGGGUCGCGAACCCGCGAGGGGGAGCCAAUCCCAAAAAGCCGCUCUCAGUUCGGAUUGCAGGCUGCAACUCGCCUGCAUGAAGCCGGAAUCGCUAGUAAUCGCGGAUCAGCAUGCCGCGGUGAAUACGUUCCCGGGCCUU